GACAGACCUGCUGCAGUGGUGCCUGGAGUCGGGCAGCAUCCCCAUCCUGUGCCCCAUCGGGGAGACGGCCGCGCGCCGCUCCGUGCUUCUCGACUCCCUGGAGGUGACCGCGUCGCUGGCCAAGGCGCUGCGGCCCACCAAAAUCAUCUUCCUCAAUAACAUAGGCGGCCUGCGCGACAGCAGUCAUAAGGUCCUGAGUAACGUGAACCUGCCCGCCGACCUGGACCUGGUGUGCAACGCCGAGUGGGUGAGCACAAAAGAACGGCAGCAGAUGCGGCUCAUCGUGGACGUGCUCAGCCGCCUGCCCCACCACUCCUCGGCCGUCAUCACCGCCGCUAGCACGCUGCUCACUGAGCUCUUUAGCAACAAGGGUGAGGGCGGUGGGCGGGCCGGGGACUGGGUCCCGGGAGUGAGCACUGGCCGGGGCUGGGUGUCUGCGGUCAGGAGGAGCGGUUUCUCCUCCUGUCCAGGAGCCGUAGGAGGGGGCGGGGGGUGUCACAGCAAUGGCUCCUGCUGCUGCUGAAACCCGGGGGAGGUGAGAGAGGAGGACACCCAGUGUACUGGAAGGGAACUCCGAAGGAAUUAAAGAAAUCGGAGGGACUAGGGGGGAGAAGGAGGGGCCCCCGGUGGGCGUGUCCAGGGGGCGGGACCACAAGGGAGGUGUUCGCCAGGAGAGAUGGGCGGGGCUUAGGUGGGUGGGCCGGGUCGUGGCGGGAGACAGACUUCAAGGAGAAAGGCAGGACUAACGGAAGUGGGUGGGGCUCCAGGCGACUGGAGGAGCUUGGGGCACAAUCUCUGCCUAGGAAAAGCAUCUCCUUGAAUGAAAAUCACUGACAAAUCUAUGCAGACCACUCAAAUCAUUUCACUGUGGAGGUCUCCCAAAGACGGAAAUUGUCCCACCAGCCCCUGCCCUACCUGCAGUCCCCACCAGGCUGCGCAAACGGCUCUCCAGCCAGACUAGCCCCUCCCCCUCCUCCUCCAGGGUCCGGGACCCUGUUCAAGAACGCCGAGCGAAUGCUACGGGUGCGCAGCCUGGACAAGCUGGACCAGGGCCGUCUAGUGGACCUGGUCAACGCCAGCUUCGGCAAGAAGCUCAGGGACGACUACCUGGCCUCGCUGCGCCCGCGGCUGCACUCCAUCUACGUCUCCGAGGGGUACAACGCCGCCGCCAUUCUGACCAUGGAGCCCGUCCUGGGGGGCACCCCGUACCUGGACAAAUUUGUGGUGAGCUCCAGCCGCCAGGGCCAAGGCUCCGGCCAGAUGCUGUGGGAGUGCCUGCGGCGGGACCUUCAGACACUUUUCUGGCGCUCCCGGGUCACCAACCCCAUCAAUCCCUGGUACUUCAAACACAGUGACGGCAGCUUCUCCAACAAGCAGUGGAUCUUCUUCUGGUUUGGCCUGGCUGAUAUCCGGGACUCCUAUGAGUUGGUCAACCAUGCCAAGGGACUGCCAGACUCCUUUCACAAGCCAGCUUCUGACCCAGGCAGCUGACCCUCACCAUGGAUGCUACAGGCCCUGGAAUGGCCAGGGUGGACCAAAAGCCAUGCCAGUUGGGCAUGACCCCAGGCAGCCAGCCACAGGCUGGAGGGGGCUUGUUGGCUGAGUGAUCUGCAGAGGAGAAAGCAGCCCCAGCUCUGCCCAGAGGAGGUGCUGAAGUGGGACAAGCACAGGAAAGAGGGGGACCAGUCUAGGACCCCAACUCAACUCACUCUAAAGCCACAACCAAAUGGCCUUCGAUUUUCAACCUGGGGAUUAGGGGAGGGGAGGGUGCCUUCCAGGGCUCUACUCAGGACUAACCCUAAGGGUGGACUAGUUUCUGUGCCUCUGUGCUAUGUUUUGAGGCUCCCUUACCCAAAAUAACACCCCUGCCUGUGUGAUAUUCUACCAUUCAUUUUAAUUCCUUUGGGUCUUGCAGUUUUUCAGGAGGCCUUGAUUAAAAUGCAAACACUUGUC
This 1953-nucleotide small RNA is filed under the name Pongo abelii (Sumatran orangutan). Its description in RNAcentral is "retained intron". The record is from RNAcentral. Lineage: Eukaryota; Metazoa; Chordata; Mammalia; Primates; Hominidae.